GGGCCUAUAGCUCAAUCGGCAGUAGCGGUCAACUCAUAAUUGACUGGUUGGGAGUUCGAGUCUCCCUGGGCCCAC
RNAcentral lists this transfer RNA (75 nucleotides) under compost metagenome. RNAcentral's name for it is "tRNA-Met". It matches the Rfam family "tRNA". Rfam says of the family: Transfer RNA (tRNA) molecules are approximately 80 nucleotides in length. The record is from RNAcentral.